AAUGAUACCCUGGUAGUCCACGCCGUAAACGGUGGGCGCUAGGUGUGGGUUUCCUUCCACGGGAUCCGUGCCGUAGCUAACGCAUUAAGCGCCCCGCCUGGGGAGUACGGCCGCAAGGCUAAAACUCAAAGGAAUUGACGGGGGGCCCGCACAAGCGGCGGAGCAUGUGGAUUAAUUCGAUGCAACGCGAAGAACCUUACCUGGGUUUGACAUAUACCGGAUCGCCUCAGAGAUGGGGUUUCCCUUGUGGUCGGUAUACAGGUGGUGCAUGGCUGUCGUCAGCUCGUGUCGUGAGAUGUUGGGUUAAGUCCGCAACGAGCGCAACCUUGUCCUGUGUUGCCAGCAAUUCGGUUAGGGACUCGCAGGAGACUGCCGGGGUCAACUCGGAGGAAGGUGGGACGACGUCAAGUCAUCAUGCCCCUUAUGUCCAGGGCUUCACACAUGCUACAAUGGCCGGUACAGAGGGCUGCGAUACCGUGAGGUGGAGCGAAUCCCGUUAAAGCCGGUCUCAGUUCGGAUCGGGGUCUGCAACUCGA
This 536-nucleotide ribosomal RNA is filed under the name uncultured bacterium. RNAcentral describes it as "bacterial SSU rRNA". It matches the Rfam family "Bacterial small subunit ribosomal RNA", at positions 778 to 1315 of the family's 1533-position model. The record is from RNAcentral.